RNAcentral lists this ribosomal RNA (311 nucleotides) under uncultured bacterium. Its description in RNAcentral is "bacterial SSU rRNA". It matches the Rfam family "Bacterial small subunit ribosomal RNA", at positions 202 to 507 of the family's 1533-position model. The record is from RNAcentral.
GGUUUCGGCUGUCACUUAUAGAUGGGCCCGCGGCGCAUUAGCUAGUUGGUGAGGUAACGGCUCACCAAGGCGAGAUGCGUAGCCGACCUGAGAGGGUGAUCGGCCACACUGGGACUGAGACACGGCCCAGACUCCUACGGGAGGCAGCAGUAGGGAAUCUUCCGCAAUGGACGAAAGUCUGACGGAGCAACGCCGCGUGAGUGAUGUAAGGUUUUCGGAUACGUAAACUCUGUUGUUAGGGAAGAACAAGUAUGAGAGUAACUGCUCGUACCUUGACGGUACCUAACCAGAAAGCCACGGCUAACUACGUG